GGCGUCGAGCGGCGGACGGGUGAGUAAUGCCUAGGAAAUUGCCCUGAUGUGGGGGAUAACCAUUGGAAACGAUGGCUAAUACCGCAUGAUGCCUACGGGCCAAAGAGGGGGACCUUCGGGCCUCUCGCGUCAGGAUAUGCCUAGGUGGGAUUAGCUAGUUGGUGAGGUAAGGGCUCACCAAGGCGACGAUCCCUAGCUGGUCUGAGAGGAUGAUCAGCCACACUGGAACUGAGACACGGUCCAGACUCCUACGGGAGGCAGCAGUGGGGAAUAUUGCACAAUGGGCGCAAGCCUGAUGCAGCCAUGCCGCGUGUGUGAAGAAGGCCUUCGGGUUGUAAAGCACUUUCAGUCGUGAGGAAGGUUUAUGCGUUAAUAGCGUAUAGAUUUGACGUUAGCGACAGAAGAAGCACCGGCUAACUCCGUGCCAGCAGCCGCGGUAAUACG
This 444-nucleotide ribosomal RNA is filed under the name Vibrio parahaemolyticus. RNAcentral's name for it is "bacterial SSU rRNA". It matches the Rfam family "Bacterial small subunit ribosomal RNA", at positions 87 to 527 of the family's 1533-position model. Lineage: Bacteria; Pseudomonadati; Pseudomonadota; Gammaproteobacteria; Vibrionales; Vibrionaceae. The record is from RNAcentral.